UACGUAUGGAGCAAGCGUUAUCCGGAUUUACUGGGUGUAAAGGGUGCGUAGGUGGCAGUGCAAGUCAGAUGUGAAAGGCCGGGGCUCAACCCCGGAGCUGCAUUUGAAACUUCAUAGCUAGAGUACAGGAGAGGCAGGCGGAAUUCCUAGUGUAGCGGUGAAAUGCGUAGAUAUUAGGAGGAACACCAGUGGCGAAGGCGGCCUGCUGGACUGUUACUGACACUGAGGCACGAAAGCGUGGGGAGCAAACAGG
Molecule: ribosomal RNA, 253 nt
Filed under: Anaerobutyricum hallii
Lineage: Bacteria; Bacillati; Bacillota; Clostridia; Lachnospirales; Lachnospiraceae
Description: partial 16S ribosomal RNA
Rfam family: Bacterial small subunit ribosomal RNA
Source: RNAcentral